GAAAAAGAAAGACAUGUAGGAGGAAAAAGUUCAAGUCCAAAAAACUUUGACUUUGAUUUCAUUGAAGAUCAGGUCAAGUAUGACAAACGGAAGUACAGGAAAAAUGAAAACAAAAGACCGACUAGUCCUCGGAGUUAGCCUCCUCCAUUGGAUAACGAUAGGGGACGGUCGGCGAACCCGCUCUGGCUUCAGCAGUCGGGGCCGCC
Molecule: long non-coding RNA, 206 nt
Filed under: Elaeis guineensis (African oil palm)
Lineage: Eukaryota; Viridiplantae; Streptophyta; Magnoliopsida; Arecales; Arecaceae
Description: long non-coding RNA (EGUI_LNC026310)
Source: RNAcentral